This 1216-nucleotide ribosomal RNA is filed under the name Bradyrhizobium sp. RNAcentral describes it as "bacterial SSU rRNA". It matches the Rfam family "Bacterial small subunit ribosomal RNA", at positions 149 to 1412 of the family's 1533-position model. Lineage: Bacteria; Pseudomonadati; Pseudomonadota; Alphaproteobacteria; Hyphomicrobiales; Nitrobacteraceae. The record is from RNAcentral.
CAGGGAAACUUGUGCUAAUACCGGAUAAGCCCUUACGGGGAAAGAUUUAUCGCCGAAAGAUUGGCCCGCGUCUGAUUAGCUAGUUGGUGAGGUAAUGGCUCACCAAGGCGACGAUCAGUAGCUGGUCUGAGAGGAUGAUCAGCCACAUUGGGACUGAGACACGGCCCAAACUCCUACGGGAGGCAGCAGUGGGGAAUAUUGGACAAUGGGCGCAAGCCUGAUCCAGCCAUGCCGCGUGAGUGAUGAAGGCCCUAGGGUUGUAAAGCUCUUUUGUGCGGGAAGAUAAUGACGGUACCGCAAGAAUAAGCCCCGGCUAACUUCGUGCCAGCAGCCGCGGUAAUACGAAGGGGGCUAGCGUUGCUCGGAAUCACUGGGCGUAAAGGGUGCGUAGGCGGGUCUUUAAGUCAGGGGUGAAAUCCUGGAGCUCAACUCCAGAACUGCCUUUGAUACUGAGGAUCUUGAGUUCGGGAGAGGUGAGUGGAACUGCGAGUGUAGAGGUGAAAUUCGUAGAUAUUCGCAAGAACACCAGUGGCGAAGGCGGCUCACUGGCCCGAUACUGACGCUGAGGCACGAAAGCGUGGGGAGCAAACAGGAUUAGAUACCCUGGUAGUCCACGCCGUAAACGAUGAAUGCCACCGUUAGUGGGUUUACUCAUAGUGGCGCAGCUAACGCUUUAAGCAUUCCGCCUGGGGAGUACGGUCGCAAGAUUAAAACUCAAAGGAAUUGACGGGGGCCCGCACAAGCGGUGGAGCAUGUGGUUUAAUUCGACGCAACGCGCAGAACCUUACCAGCCCUUGACAUGUCCGACCGGUCGCAGAGAUGUGACCUUCUCUUCGGAGCCUGGAAACAGGUGCUGCAUGGCUGUCGUCAGCUCGUGUCGUGAAUGUGGUUAAGUCCCGCAACGAGCGCACCCCCGUCCUUAGUUGUACCAUUUAGUUGAGCACUCUAAGGGACUGCCGGUGAUAACCGCGAGGAAGGUGGGGAUGACGUCAAGUCCUCAUGGCCCUUACGGGUUGGGCUACACACGUGCUACAAUGGCGGUGACAAUGGGACGCUAAGGGGCAACCCUUCGCAAAUUUCAAAAAGCCGUAUCAGUUCGGAUUGGGCUCUGCAACUCGAGCCCAUGAAGUUGGAAUCGCUAGUAAUCGUGGAUCAGCACGCCACGGUGAAUACGUUCCCGGGCCUUGUACACCCCUACCGUCACACCAUGGGAGUU